GGGCGAUUAGCUCAGCUGGCUAGAGCGUCUCGCUUACACCGAGAAGGUCACUGGUUCGAGUCCGGUAUCGCCCA
RNAcentral lists this transfer RNA (74 nucleotides) under Phycisphaerae bacterium. Its description in RNAcentral is "tRNA-Val". It matches the Rfam family "tRNA". From Rfam's summary of the family: Transfer RNA (tRNA) molecules are approximately 80 nucleotides in length. The record is from RNAcentral. Lineage: Bacteria; Pseudomonadati; Planctomycetota; Phycisphaerae.